AUCCUUUUGUAGUUCAUAAGUGUGAUGAUUGGGUUUUCACGCUAUUGUGUGAGAUGUGCCUCCCACAUAACCCUGUCUGUCAUGAAAUACACAAAUAAAAUGGUUAAUU
This is a small nucleolar RNA of Cynocephalus volans (Philippine flying lemur), 109 nucleotides long. RefSeq annotates it as small nucleolar RNA U13. The record is from RefSeq and is a predicted model, not a curated record. The transcript has a single exon. NCBI's taxonomy places the organism in Eukaryota, Metazoa, Chordata, Mammalia, Dermoptera, Cynocephalidae.